CAUUGAUGAGAAUGCAAUGCCCCGAAAACCCAAGGUUUCCUCCGCAAGGUUCGUCCACGGAGGGUGAGUCAGGGCCUAAGAUCAGGCCGAAAGGCGUAGUCAAUGGACAACAUGUCAAUAUUCCUGUACUGGUAAAAGUUUUAUAUGGAUAAUAUAAAUGUGUUUGGAAGCAAUUUUUUUAUAGAUAAUAUAUUAAAACCGCAGGGGGGGGGGGAGAUUGAUCGAUCUAAUCUAACUACCUCCGUCACAUAAUAUAUUGCCCUAUGAGGGGAUUUGAUCUCUCCUAAGACAAUGUAUAUACAUUGUCCUCCCCUCCUGGUGGCUAUAUAUUAAUGAAUAGAGAGAGUAUAUUUAUGAU
RNAcentral lists this non-coding RNA (358 nucleotides) under Leersia perrieri. RNAcentral's name for it is "Bacterial large subunit ribosomal RNA". It matches the Rfam family "Bacterial large subunit ribosomal RNA", at positions 1316 to 1679 of the family's 2925-position model. The record is from Rfam by way of RNAcentral. Lineage: Eukaryota; Viridiplantae; Streptophyta; Magnoliopsida; Poales; Poaceae.